GGCUCCAGGUUCGAAUCCUGGUAAGAAAAGGUGCUCGAUCCAUUGUUGCAUCAACAGAGCCUGCGCUGCCUUGUACUAUAUAAAAAAGAGUAACAAAAUUAAGACUAAGGUUCGGUAUUCAAUUAAAUUAAAUUGAAUUAUUUUUGUUUCGACCAACUUAUUGGAUCAUAAAUUAUAACAAUCGAUACUAAUAUUAUAUAUAAAAUAACUUAGAAAUAUUUUUUCCAUUUCACAAUAAAUAGAGAUAACCAAGUUAUGGACAGUUCUAAAGUAAAAUCAAUUUAUUAUUCACAAUAACUUAAAACUUUCCCUUAAUGUGUUUAAAUGUUUUUCUUUUCAUUGGCGAGACGAAGUUUACUACCUCCAGCUCCGUUGCUAGCCAAAUAUCAUUGAAGCGGCGGCGGCGUCACCGGCGUCGUUACCGAAUCGAGAAAUGCCUAGCGCAAGAACGAACACGAACCAUGCCACGCUCACGCCAACACAUACGGUAGAUACACGUAAAAUACAAGCAUUUUCAUGCGUGACUACUGCAAAGAACGUCCUUCGUAGAAGUUCGCACUGCUGAAUGAAGAUAAAAUAUCGUUUAAUAAACUAUAAACUGUACAUAAGAAAAUAAAAUACAGAACAGAG
This is a long non-coding RNA of Cydia pomonella (codling moth), 630 nucleotides long. RefSeq lists it as uncharacterized. The record is from RefSeq and is a predicted model, not a curated record. The transcript is spliced from 2 exons. NCBI's taxonomy places the organism in Eukaryota, Metazoa, Arthropoda, Insecta, Lepidoptera, Tortricidae.